This is a long non-coding RNA of Brienomyrus brachyistius, 2440 nucleotides long. RefSeq lists it as uncharacterized. NCBI's taxonomy places the organism in Eukaryota, Metazoa, Chordata, Actinopteri, Osteoglossiformes, Mormyridae. The record is from RefSeq and is a predicted model, not a curated record. The transcript has 3 exons.
AGUGAGAUCCUGGCAUCAGCUCUGAGUUUAAAUGCCUCACACCUGAGAGACCUGGAUGUGAGCUACAAUGAUGUAGGAGAUGUUGGUGUACGAGAGCUUUGUGCCAAGCUGAGCCGUGCGAGUUGUAAACUCGAGGCGUUAAAGUUGGGUUACUGCUGCCUCACAGAGGUGUGCCCUGGAGAUCUGGCCGUACUGUUGCGCUCUGCCAGCUCUAAGCUGAGGGAGCUGGAACUGAAAGACAAUGAUCUCAAAGACUCGGGAGUGAAAUUACUUUGUGGUGGACUUGAAGAUCCCAACUGUAUACUACAGCGACUCGGACUGUCAGGCUGUCGGGUCACAGAAGAUGGCUGCGUUUUCCUGAGUCAGGCCCUUCAUUAUCAAACCCUUCACACCUGAGAGCGCUGGAUCUGAGCUACAAUCACCCGGGUGACUCUGGACUGACAGUGUUCUCUGCUGUACAGGAGAAUCCCAGCUGUGCACUGGAGAACCUCCUGUGAAUGUCCCCGAUUGGCAGCUGUGGCUGCCCCCGUCCAUCAGGGGAUACGGGUUGAUUUCUAAGAAUCCUUUGCUGUUAACUUGUGGAGCCUCUGUACUGACAAUCACAUAUCAGUGCUGUCAAUCAUCUAACCCCCGUCAUUCUGAUUUUGCCAAUUUGUAGUGUCGACCAUUGUGGAGAGAACAGAGACAAGCCAGGGCUGCAAAAAUAUAGGUGUUUUACACAAAAUACACAAGUAUGGUCAAGGACGCAUAUUUAGAAACACCCAGAGACUUACUGUAUGAAAACCGAGAUUCACAAACCUGUCCAAUUUGGUCUCUACUAAUUGGAUCCCACUAGUUACAGCAUAAUUGUCUCAUCAGUCAUCUGUUUACCCUACACAUACAGCUGUGGCCAAAUGUUUUGAGAAUGAUGAUGAUGAUGAUGAUGAUGAUGAUGAUGAUGAAAACCCUUUAUUGCUGUUGCAAUACACCAUGUCACUAGUCACAAGUACCGGUGAAAAAACCAACCAUCAACACGACCAUACAUAUACACAAACAUCAGAGUAGGGGGUAGACCGGUCAGGAGACAGGGGCAAACAGAGAGAAGAAAGAAACAGAAUGACACAAGUAUUGGUUUUCACAAAGUUGGCUGCGUCAGUGUUUGUAGAUCUUUUUGUCUGAUGUUUCUAUGGUAUACUAAAGCAUAAUUACAAGCAGUUGGUAAGUGCGAAAGGCAUCUUCAGUUCCCCCUGGCAUGCCGUUAAUGAACUUCUGGACCGAAUUCUGACUGAUGGCAGCCCAUUCUUGCACAAUCAGUGCUUGGAGUUUGUCAGAAUUUGUGGGUUUUUGAUUGCCCACCCGCCUCUUGAGGAUUGACCACAAGUUCUCAAUGGGAUUAAGGUCUGGGGAGUUUCCUGGCCAUGGACCAAAGUGUCGAUGUUUUGUUCCCCGGGCCACUUGGUUAUCACUUUUGUCUUAUGGCAUGGAGCUCCAUCAUGCUGGAAAAGGCAUCGUUCAUCACCAAACUGCUCUUGGAUGGUUGGGAGUAUGUUUUGGUACCAUUCAUUGUGAGUGAGUCCACUCUCUUGGCUGAGAAGCAACCCCACACAUGAAUGGUCUAAGGAUGCUUUACUGUUGGCGUGACACAGGACUGAUGGUAGCAUCACUUUCUCUUCUCUGGGUCUUUUUUCCAGAUUCAUCAGAGAAAAUGACUUCACCCCAGUCCUCAGCAGUCCAAUCCCUGCACCUUUUGCAGAAUAUCAAACUGUCCCUGAUGUUUUAUGUUGGAGAGAAGUGGCUUCUUUGUUGCCCUUCUUGAAACAAGGCCAUCGUAUAAGUCACCUCACUGUGUGUGCAGAUACACUCACACCUGCCUGCUGUCAUUCCUGAGCAAGCUCUGCACUGGUGGUGUCCCGAUCCUGCAGUUGAAUAAACUUUAGGAGAUGGUCCUGGUCCUUGCUGGACUUCCUUGGGAGCUCUGAAGCCUUCUUCACAACAAUAGAAGCUCUCUCCUUGAAGUUCUUGGUGAUCCGAUAAAUGGUCGAUUUAGGUACAAUCUUACUAGCAGCAAUAUCCUUUUUGUGCAAAGCAAUGAUGACUGCAUGUGUUUCCUAUCAUGGGUACCAGAAGAAGAACAAUGAUUUCAAGCACCGUCCUCCUUUUAAAGCAUCCAGUCUGCUAUUCUAAGUCAAUCAGCAUGACAGUGGGAUCUCCAGCAUUGUCACCUGUGUUAACAAGAGAAGCACCGAAAUGAUGUCAGCAGGUCCUUUUGUGGCAGGAAAUGCAGUGGAAAUGGGUUUUUUGGGAUAAAGUUCAUUUUCAUGGCAAAAAGGGACCUUGCAAUGAAUUGCAACUCAUCUGAUCACUCUCCAUAACAUCCUGGAGCACAUGCAAAUUUUCCAUCAUGAAAACUGAGGCAGCAGACUUUGUGACAAUUAAUAUUCGUGUCAUUCUCAAGACUUUU